AGGAGGCAGCAGUGGGGAAUCUUGGACAAUGGGCGCAAGCCUGAUCCAGCAAUGCCGCGUGGGUGAAGACGGCCUGCGGGUUGUAAAGCCCUUUUGGCGGGGACGAAGGCCCUGGGGUGAACAGGCUCAGGGGGUGACGGUACCCGCGGAAGAAGCACCGGCCAACUCCGUGCCAGCAGCCGCGGUAAGACGGAGGGUGCGAGCGUUAAUCGGAAUUACUGGGCGUAAAGCGCACGUAGGCGGUGGUGUCAGUCCGUUGUGAAAGCCCCGGGCUCAACCUGGGAAUUGCGAUGGAGACUGCAAGGCUUGAAUCUGGCAGAGGGGGGUAGAAUUCCACGUGUAGCAGUGAAAUGCGUAGAGAUGUGGAGGAACACCGAUGGCGAAGGCAGCCCCCUGGGUCAAGAUUGACGCUCAUGCACGAAAGCGUGGGGAGCAAACAGGCUUAGAUACCCUGGUAGA
Molecule: ribosomal RNA, 459 nt
Filed under: uncultured bacterium
Lineage: Bacteria
Description: bacterial SSU rRNA
Rfam family: Bacterial small subunit ribosomal RNA
Source: RNAcentral